Molecule: ribosomal RNA, 114 nt
Filed under: Acanthosepion pharaonis
Lineage: Eukaryota; Metazoa; Mollusca; Cephalopoda; Sepiida; Sepiidae
Source: RNAcentral
UUACGGCCAUAUCACUUUGAAACACCAGCUUUCAUAUGAUCACCAAAGUUAAGCAAAAUUGAGCCUGGUCAGUAUCAAGAUGGGUGACUGCUUGGGAAUACCAGGUGCUGUAAG